AGUGAACGCUGGCGGUAGGCCUAACACAUGCCAGUCGAACGGCAGCACAGUAAGAGCUUGCUCUUACGGGUGGCGAGUGGCGGACGGGUGAGGAAUACAUCGGAAUCUACUUUUUCGUGGGGGAUAACGUAGGGAAACUUACGCUAAUACCGCAUACGACCUACGGGUGAAAGCAGGGGAUCUUCGGACCUUGCGCGAUUGAAUGAGCCGAUGUCGGAUUAGCUAGUUGGCGGGGUAAAGGCCCACCAAGGCGACGAUCCGUAGCUGGUCUGAGAGGAUGAUCCGCCACACUGGAACCGAGACACGGUCCAGACUCCUACGGGAGGCAGCAGUGGGGAAUAUUGGACAAUGGGCGCAAGCCUGAUCCAGCCAUACCGCGUGGGUGAAGAAGGCCUUCGGGUUGUAAAGCCCUUUUGUUGGGAAAGAAAAGCAGCAGGUUAAUACCCCGCUGUUCUGACGGUACCCAAAGAAUAAGCACCGGCUAACUUCGUG
Molecule: ribosomal RNA, 492 nt
Filed under: uncultured bacterium
Lineage: Bacteria
Description: partial 16S ribosomal RNA
Rfam family: Bacterial small subunit ribosomal RNA
Source: RNAcentral